RNAcentral lists this ribosomal RNA (702 nucleotides) under uncultured bacterium. RNAcentral's name for it is "bacterial SSU rRNA". It matches the Rfam family "Bacterial small subunit ribosomal RNA", at positions 9 to 711 of the family's 1533-position model. The record is from RNAcentral.
GAGUUUGAUCCUGGCUCAGAAUGAACGCUGGCGGCGUGCUUAACACAUGCAAGUCGAGCGAGAAAGUUCCUUCGGGAAUUAGUACAGCGGCAGACGGGUGAGUAAUACAUGGGAAUCUGCCUUUAAGUGAAGGAUACCUUUGAGAAAUCAAAGUUAAUACUGCAUAUCUCCUCCGGGAGAAAGAUGGCUUUUAUGCUGUCGCUUGAAGAUGAGCCCAUGCGCUAUUAGCUAGUUGGUGGGGUAAAGGCCUACCAAGGCGAUGAUGGCUAGCCGGCCUGAGAGGGUGAACGGCCACACUGGAACUGAGACACGGUCCAGACUCCUACGGGAGGCAGCAGUGAGGAAUAUUGCACAAUGGGCGAAAGCCUGAUGCAGCGACGCCGCGUGGAGGAUGAAGGUCUUAGGAUCGUAAACUCCUGUUAAGUGAGAAGAAAGUACUACCUUUAAUAGAGGUGGGAGAUGACGUUAUCACUAGAGAAAGCACCGGCUAACUUCGUGCCAGCAGCCGCGGUAAUACGAGGGGUGCAAGCGUUAUUCGGAAUGACUGGGCGUAAAGGGUGCGUAGACGGCACGUUAAGUCUUUUGUUAAAUACCUCAGCCUAACUGAGGAUCAGCAGGGGAAACUGGCGAGCUUGAGAUUGGAAGAGAGAAGUGGAAUUCUCGGAGUAGCGGUAAAAUGCGUAGAUCUCGAGAGGAACACCA